Molecule: unclassified non-coding RNA, 229 nt
Filed under: Hevea brasiliensis (rubber tree)
Lineage: Eukaryota; Viridiplantae; Streptophyta; Magnoliopsida; Malpighiales; Euphorbiaceae
Source: RNAcentral
GCCAACCAUUGAUCCGAAUACCAGGACCCUGCUUUUGUGUGGGUACCCAAAUGUUGGGAAGUCCAGCUUCAUCAACAAGGUGACGAGAGCAGACGUGGAUGUCCAGCCCUAUGCGUUCACAACCAAGUCUCUGUUUGUUGGGCACAUGGAUUAUAAGUAUCUACGUUGGCAGGUUGUAGACACUCCUGGGAUCCUGGACCACCCUCUGGAGGAUAGGAACACCAUCGAG